AGGCAUUUACUGAAUGGCAGCGCAAGGCACAUAAAAGAGAGGAAAAAAUGUCAGGUAGGGCCCUCACCUGUUUCUCAGUGUGCUAAAUUGCAGAAAGCCGAUCCCGAACUGGACUCUGCCCCACCUCAACACCCACAGCCAGUAGGGAGGGAGGAACCUGCAGUUUCAGAGGCACCUCUUCACAAUGAGGCGGCCCAGCCUAUGCCACUCUAUCAGAAACUGUCAGAACUUAGCCACCAACCCCCACCAAACUAUGCUCACGUUACACAUGAGAUUCCAUGUGAAGGGACCAAAAACGUUGCUGCCUGAGGGCUUCAGACCAACAAAAUUGGACAGAGAAUGUACAGUGCACGCCGUGUUAGAUGCCCCAAUGCUAUAAGUGGCCGGAGAAGAAGGCCCUAUGCUAGUUCACAGACCUUGGACAUUGGAAGACAUCAGGAGCAGCAUGACGCAUCUGCCGGCUCUCCGUGAAGUAGGCGGAUGAAAGUUUGGGGAUGAACUUCAGAUAUUUUGCAGAGAAUUCAGACCCACCACUCAUGAACUAAGACGACUGCUCAUGGCGAAACUUAGCACUGACUGGGUUAAGGUUUCACCUGAAUUCCCAGAGAACGAUGUCCACCUGAUCAACCCACAGUGGGAUGAUGAAGUCAACGCAAGGUACAGAGCACAAAUCGCGGCGCUCCAGCAGAGGCUGACGAACACCUUUCCUGUGGGAAUGGACAUGACAAAAAUAGCGAUGUGUAAACAACAAGACUCAGAGACUGUAUCACAGUACAUGUCCAGGCUCACUGAGAUCCAUGAUGCAAACUCAGGCUUGCAGAAACCCGACGCUCUGGCAGAUGUGCAGGCGGCCGUCACAGCAUUGGAGGCACAUCUCAGAAACAGCUUUAUGCAUGAAAGCAGAAAUUGCCGCUAUAAUCAAACAACAAUGUGUAGCCCAGGCUUAAUAAUGAGAAACACUAUUUAGCUGUCUAACCAAGUCACAAAAGUGUUAACAUUGAUUUUCUUGUUAUCUUUGAUUGAUUUGUAAGUGCGCAAAUGGGUGAACUCUAUGAGGCAGUGAGCUGACCAAUCAGCUGCCAGCUAGGCUCUGCUACAGUUACACCUCUAGGUUAGUGUCUCUGCACGUUCUUUUGGUGCUUGCACCUGAGUAUAGGAGGUUGCGUUAUCCACUUGAGAGUAAAAGAGAGCUGUGCGUGAAUCCACUGUCACGGAGCUAAAGGCAGUGAAUUCUGCUAAAAUGGUCAGGUUUUGGUAAAGAGUUGGAAACAUCGUGCGGAGAUCCUUUCCACGGAAUGAUACAAAUCCUCACGUUCCAGGCGUUCUUUCAGAGAUUCGUAGAUUCCCAGUCCGGGUGUGUUUGUGACUGACUUUAGACGGAUUGCCAGGCUCUUCAUCUUCAUGGUGGUAGGACAAACACUAACACGAACUAAAAAGGGCCCAGCGUUGGUAACUGAACUCUUGUCAACAAAGUGAAACUGAGGACAAACUGAGCUCAAGGGAAUUUAAAAGAGGAUUUAUUUACGUGUGCACUUUAUUAUUUUAGUUUGUUAUUUUUUCAUAACUUUUUGUAUAUGUAUGUACCAGCCCUGUGUAUGUAAUACAUUUUAUGCAAACUGUCA
This is a long non-coding RNA of Ictalurus punctatus (channel catfish), 1622 nucleotides long. RefSeq lists it as uncharacterized. NCBI's taxonomy places the organism in Eukaryota, Metazoa, Chordata, Actinopteri, Siluriformes, Ictaluridae. The record is from RefSeq and is a predicted model, not a curated record. The transcript has 3 exons.